CAAAAACUGAAAUCUAUUGAAUUGAUACAUUUUGUAAUUAUUCAAAAUUAAAUCAGAAACCUAUACGUAAUUAUAAAAUAAUGAACCUGUUAAAGGGAGACAAUCCCAUAUUGACUUAUUCGAAUCUAAGCAUAAUACAAAGGAAUGUCACUCUUGCAUACAAAUGGCACAUACAUAUAAUUGAAUAACUGUGCAUUCGUGCUCCAC
RNAcentral lists this long non-coding RNA (207 nucleotides) under Mytilus galloprovincialis (Mediterranean mussel). The record is from RNAcentral. Lineage: Eukaryota; Metazoa; Mollusca; Bivalvia; Mytilida; Mytilidae.